RNAcentral lists this ribosomal RNA (688 nucleotides) under uncultured bacterium. Its description in RNAcentral is "bacterial SSU rRNA". It matches the Rfam family "Bacterial small subunit ribosomal RNA", at positions 33 to 712 of the family's 1533-position model. The record is from RNAcentral.
ACGUAGCGGCAGGCUUAUAAAUGCAAGUCGAGGGGCAGCGGGGGUAGCAAUACUCGCCGGCGACCGGCAAACGGGUGCGGAACACGUACGCAACCUUCCCAAAACUGGUGAAUAGCCCUCCGAAAGGAGGAUUAAUACACCGUAAGAUAAUUUGAUGGCAUCAUUAGAUUAUUAUAGCUCCGGCGGUUUUGGAUGGGCGUGCGCCUGAUUAGGUAGUUGGUAGGGUAACGGCCUACCAAGCCAACGAUCAGUAACUGGUGUGAGAGCACGACCAGUCACACGGGCACUGAGACACGGGCCCGACUCCUACGGGAGGCAGCAGUAAGGAAUAUUGGUCAAUGGACGCAAGUCUGAACCAGCCAUGCCGCGUGCAGGAUGAAGGCCCUCUGGGUUGUAAACUGCUUUUAUGGGGGACGAAAAAAGGGGAUUCUUCCUCACUUGACGGUACCCUAGGAAUAAGCACCGGCUAACUCCGUGCCAGCAGCCGCGGUAAUACGGAGGGUGCAAGCGUUAUCCGGAUUUACUGGGUUUAAAGGGUGCGUAGGUGGGUAGGUAAGUCAGUGGUGAAAUCUUCGAGCUUAACUCGGAAACUGCAUUGAUACUAUUUAUCUUGAAUACUUUGGAGGUAAGCGGAAUAUGUCAUGGUAGCGGGUGGAAAUGCUUUAGAUAUUGACAUUAGGAACACCAA